CCUACGGGUGACUGCAGUGAGGAAUAUUGGUCAAUGGGCACGAGCCUGAACCAGCCAAGUAGCGUGAAGGAUGACUGCCCUACGGGUUGUAAACUUCUUUUGUAAAGGAAUAAAGUGCGGCACGUGUGCCUUUUUGUAUGUACUUUAUGAAUAAGGAUCGGCUAACUCCGUGCCAGCAGCCGCGGUAAUACGGAGGAUCCGAGCGUUAUCCGGAUUUAUUGGGUUUAAAGGGAGCGUAGAUGGGAUGUUAAGUCAGUUGUGAAAGUUUGGGGCUCAACCGUAAAAGUGCAAUUGAUACUGGCAGCCUUGAGUACAGUUGAGGUAGGCGGAAUGCGUGGUGUAGCGGUGAAAUGCUUAGAUAUCACGAAGAACUCCGAUUGCGAAGGCAGCCUACUAAACUGCCACUGACAUUGAUGCUCGAAAGUGUGGGUAUCAAACAGGAUUAGAUACCCGGGUAGUC
This 460-nucleotide ribosomal RNA is filed under the name uncultured bacterium. Its description in RNAcentral is "partial 16S ribosomal RNA". It matches the Rfam family "Bacterial small subunit ribosomal RNA", at positions 338 to 795 of the family's 1533-position model. The record is from RNAcentral.